UUAAGCGACUAAGCGUACACGGUGGAUGCCCUGGCAGUCAGAGGCGAUGAAGGACGUGCUAAUCUGCGAUAAGCGUCGGUAAGGUGAUAUGAACCGUUAUAACCGGCGAUUUCCGAAUGGGGAAACCCAGUGUGUUUCGACACACUAUCAUUAACUGAAUCCAUAGGUUAAUGAGGCGAACCGGGGGAACUGAAACAUCUAAGUACCCCGAGGAAAAGAAAUCAACCGAGAUUCCCCCAGUAGCGGCGAGCGAACGGGGAGCAGCCCAGAGCCUGAAUCAGUGUGUGUGUUAGUGGAAGCGUCUGGAAAGGCGUGCGAUACAGGGUGACAGCCCCGUACACAAAAAUGCACAUAUUGUGAGCUCGAUGAGUAGGGCGGGACACGUGGUAUCCUGUCUGAAUAUGGGGGGACCAUCCUCCAAGGCUAAAUACUCCUGACUGACCGAUAGUGAACCAGUACCGUGAGGGAAAGGCGAAAAGAACCCCGGCGAGGGGAGUGAAAAAGAACCUGAAACCGUGUACGUACAAGCAGUGGGAGCACGCUUAGGCGUGUGACUGCGUACCUUUUGUAUAAUGGGUCAGCGACUUAUAUUCUGUAGCAAGGUUAACCGAAUAGGGGAGCCGAAGGGAAACCGAGUCUUAACUGGGCGUUAAGUUGCAGGGUAUAGACCCGAAACCCGGUGAUCUAGCCAUGGGCAGGUUGAAGGUUGGGUAACACUAACUGGAGGACCGAACCGACUAAUGUUGAAAAAUUAGCGGAUGACUUGUGGCUGGGGGUGAAAGGCCAAUCAAACCGGGAGAUAGCUGGUUCUCCCCGAAAGCUAUUUAGGUAGCGCCUCGUGAAUUCAUCUCCGGGGGUAGAGCACUGUUUCGGCAAGGGGGUCAUCCCGACUUACCAACCCGAUGCAAACUGCGAAUACCGGAGAAUGUUAUCACGGGAGACACACGGCGGGUGCUAACGUCCGUCGUGAAGAGGGAAACAACCCAGACCGCCAGCUAAGGUCCCAAAGUCAUGGUUAAGUGGGAAACGAUGUGGGAAGGCCCAGACAGCCAGGAUGUUGGCUUAGAAGCAGCCAUCAUUUAAAGAAAGCGUAAUAGCUCACUGGUCGAGUCGGCCUGCGCGGAAGAUGUAACGGGGCUAAACCAUGCACCGAAGCUGCGGCAGCGACGCUUAUGCGUUGUUGGGUAGGGGAGCGUUCUGUAAGCCUGUGAAGGUGUGCUGUGAGGCAUGCUGGAGGUAUCAGAAGUGCGAAUGCUGACAUAAGUAACGAUAAAGCGGGUGAAAAGCCCGCUCGCCGGAAGACCAAGGGUUCCUGUCCAACGUUAAUCGGGGCAGGGUGAGUCGACCCCUAAGGCGAGGCCGAAAGGCGUAGUCGAUGGGAAACAGGUUAAUAUUCCUGUACUUGGUGUUACUGCGAAGGGGGGACGGAGAAGGCUAUGUUGGCCGGGCGACGGUUGUCCCGGUUUAAGCGUGUAGGCUGGUUUUCCAGGCAAAUCCGGAAAAUCAAGGCUGAGGCGUGAUGACGAGGCACUACGGUGCUGAAGCAACAAAUGCCCUGCUUCCAGGAAAAGCCUCUAAGCAUCAGGUAACAUCAAAUCGUACCCCAAACCGACACAGGUGGUCAGGUAGAGAAUACCAAGGCGCUUGAGAGAACUCGGGUGAAGGAACUAGGCAAAAUGGUGCCGUAACUUCGGGAGAAGGCACGCUGAUAUGUAGGUGAAGUCCCUUGCGGAUGGAGCUGAAAUCAGUCGAAGAUACCAGCUGGCUGCAACUGUUUAUUAAAAACACAGCACUGUGCAAACACGAAAGUGGACGUAUACGGUGUGACGCCUGCCCGGUGCCGGAAGGUUAAUUGAUGGGGUCAGCGCAAGCGAAGCUCUUGAUCGAAGCCCCGGUAAACGGCGGCCGUAACUAUAACGGUCCUAAGGUAGCGAAAUUCCUUGUCGGGUAAGUUCCGACCUGCACGAAUGGCGUAAUGAUGGCCAGGCUGUCUCCACCCGAGACUCAGUGAAAUUGAACUCGCUGUGAAGAUGCAGUGUACCCGCGGCAAGACGGAAAGACCCCGUGAACCUUUACUAUAGCUUGACACUGAACAUUGAGCCUUGAUGUGUAGGAUAGGUGGGAGGCUUUGAAGUGUGGACGCCAGUCUGCAUGGAGCCGACCUUGAAAUACCACCCUUUAAUGUUUGAUGUUCUAACGUGGACCCGUGAUCCGGGUUGCGGACAGUGUCUGGUGGGUAGUUUGACUGGGGCGGUCUCCUCCUAAAGAGUAACGGAGGAGCACGAAGGUUGGCUAAUCCUGGUCGGACAUCAGGAGGUUAGUGCAAUGGCAUAAGCCAGCUUGACUGCGAGCGUGACGGCGCGAGCAGGUGCGAAAGCAGGUCAUAGUGAUCCGGUGGUUCUGAAUGGAAGGGCCAUCGCUCAACGGAUAAAAGGUACUCCGGGGAUAACAGGCUGAUACCGCCCAAGAGUUCAUAUCGACGGCGGUGUUUGGCACCUCGAUGUCGGCUCAUCACAUCCUGGGGCUGAAGUAGGUCCCAAGGGUAUGGCUGUUCGCCAUUUAAAGUGGUACGCGAGCUGGGUUUAGAACGUCGUGAGACAGUUCGGUCCCUAUCUGCCGUGGGCGCUGGAGAACUGAGGGGGGCUGCUCCUAGUACGAGAGGACCGGAGUGGACGCAUCACUGGUGUUCGGGUUGUCAUGCCAAUGGCACUGCCCGGUAGCUAAAUGCGGAAGAGAUAAGUGCUGAAAGCAUCUAAGCACGAAACUUGCCCCGAGAUGAGUUCUCCCUGACCCUUUAAGGGUCCUGAAGGAACGUUGAAGACGACGACGUUGAUAGGCCGGGUGUGUAAGCGCAGCGAUGCGUUGAGCUAACCGGUACUAAUGAACCGUGAGGCUUAACCUU
This 2902-nucleotide ribosomal RNA is filed under the name Escherichia coli. Its description in RNAcentral is "bacterial LSU rRNA". It matches the Rfam family "Bacterial large subunit ribosomal RNA". The record is from RNAcentral. Lineage: Bacteria; Pseudomonadati; Pseudomonadota; Gammaproteobacteria; Enterobacterales; Enterobacteriaceae.